Molecule: long non-coding RNA, 496 nt
Organism: Drosophila navojoa
Lineage: Eukaryota; Metazoa; Arthropoda; Insecta; Diptera; Drosophilidae
Source: RefSeq, a predicted model, not a curated record
UUUGAUAUAUUUUACGCAAAACUGUUCCGUGUAAACAAACAAUAAAGGGAAAAACUUGAAAUGAAAAUUAGAAGUUUACUUAGCAAUUAGACUUUGACGAGCUACAUACUAAUUGAUUUUCCUUCCUUUCUCUAAUAGGGUAUCUCUGAGUGCUGUGACGCACGCAGCCAACUCUCAACUCCAUCAACUGAUUACCUCAUCAAAAGUAAAUCCUCUGCAGACCUGUUUGGGUGGAUAGCUCUGAUUUCAAACAACUUUUGAAUACCCUAUGCGAACUAUCUGAACAGUUGUUGUCGAAUCUUGGGAGCACAUCAUAAUUACCAAAGCUUUAGCACCCCGAUAAGACUGAUUGCUAUUUAUGACCACUUCAAACUGCCCAGAAAUAUGUGAUGAAAUACAUAUGUAUAUACUGGAAUGUAUGUAUGUAUUUAUACAUAUAGUAUCUGGCUGAUAGGAUAAUUUGAUUCUUAUCAAUGGCCACAGAUUUGUCACGAAG